This 253-nucleotide ribosomal RNA is filed under the name uncultured bacterium. Its description in RNAcentral is "partial 16S ribosomal RNA". It matches the Rfam family "Bacterial small subunit ribosomal RNA", at positions 524 to 776 of the family's 1533-position model. The record is from RNAcentral. RNAcentral also lists the same sequence under 1 other name.
UACGUAGGGGGCAAGCGUUGUCCGGAAUCAUUGGGCGUAAAGCGCGUGUAGGCGGCUCGGUAAGUCUGCUCUGAAAGUCCAAGGCUCAACCUUGGGAUGCGGGUGGAUACUGCCGGGCUCGAGUCCGGAAGAGGCGAGUGGAAUUCCUGGUGUAGCGGUGAAAUGCGCAGAUAUCAGGAGGAACACCAAUGGCGAAGGCAGCUCGCUGGGACGUGACUGACGCUGAGACGCGAAAGCGUGGGGAGCAAACAGG